UGUAACAAGGUUUCCGUAGGUGAACCUGCGGAAGGAUCAUUACUGAGUGCGGGCUGCCUCCGGGCGCCCAACCUCCCACCCGUGAAUACCUAACACUGUUGCUUCGGCGGGGAACCCCCUCGGGGGCGAGCCGCCGGGGACUACUGAACUUCAUGCCUGAGAGUGAUGCAGUCUGAGUCUGAAUAUAAAAUCAGUCAAAACUUUCAACAAUGGAUCUCUUGGUUCCGGCAUCGAUGAAGAACGCAGCGAACUGCGAUAAGUAAUGUGAAUUGCAGAAUUCAGUGAAUCAUCGAGUCUUUGAACGCACAUUGCGCCCCCUGGCAUUCCGGGGGGCAUGCCUGUCCGAGCGUCAUUGCUGCCCAUCAAGCCCGGCUUGUGUGUUGGGUCGUCGUCCCCCCCCGGGGGACGGGCCCGAAAGGCAGCGGCGGCACCGUGUCCGGUCCUCGAGCGUAUGGGGCUUUGUCACCCGCUCGACUAGGGCCGGCCGGGCGCCAGCCGACGUCUCCAACCAUUUUUCUUCAGGUUGACCUCGGAUCAGGUAGGGAUACCCGCUGAACUUAAGCAUAUCAAUAAGC
This 575-nucleotide unclassified non-coding RNA is filed under the name Aspergillus sydowii. RNAcentral's name for it is "sequence contains ITS1, 5.8S rRNA gene, ITS2". The stretch from base 199 to 352 matches the Rfam family "5.8S ribosomal RNA". The record is from RNAcentral. Lineage: Eukaryota; Fungi; Ascomycota; Eurotiomycetes; Eurotiales; Aspergillaceae.